This 481-nucleotide ribosomal RNA is filed under the name uncultured bacterium. Its description in RNAcentral is "bacterial SSU rRNA". It matches the Rfam family "Bacterial small subunit ribosomal RNA", at positions 30 to 507 of the family's 1533-position model. The record is from RNAcentral.
AUUGAACGCUGCGGCAUGCCUUACACAUGCAAGUCGAACGGUAACAGGUUCGGAUGCUGACGAGUGGCGAACGGGUGAGUAAUACAUCGGAACGUGCCCGAGAGUGGGGGAUAACGCAGCGAAAGCUGUGCUAAUACCGCAUACGAUCUACGGAUGAAAGCAGGGGAUUCGCAAGGACCUUGCGCUCAUGGAGCGGCCGAUGGCAGAUUAGGUAGUUGGUGGGAUAAAAGCUUACCAAGCCGACGAUCUGUAGCUGGUCUGAGAGGACGACCAGCCACACUGGGACUGAGACACGGCCCAGACUCCUACGGGAGGCAGCAGUGGGGAAUUUUGGACAAUGGGGGAAACCCUGAUCCAGCCAUGCCGCGUGCAGGAUGAAGGCCUUCGGGUUGUAAACUGCUUUUGUACGGAACGAAAAGGUCUUUUCUAAUAAAGAAGGCCCAUGACGGUACCGUAAGAAUAAGCACCGGCUAACUACGUG